This 253-nucleotide ribosomal RNA is filed under the name uncultured bacterium. Its description in RNAcentral is "partial 16S ribosomal RNA". It matches the Rfam family "Bacterial small subunit ribosomal RNA", at positions 524 to 776 of the family's 1533-position model. The record is from RNAcentral.
UACGUAGGUGGCAAGCGUUGUCCGGAAUUAUUGGGCGUAAAGAGCUCGUAGGUGGUUGGUCGCGUCUGCUGUGGAAACGCAACGCUUAACGUUGCGCGGGCAGUGGGUACGGGCUGACUAGAGUGCAGUAGGGGAGUCUGGAAUUCCUGGUGUAGCGGUGAAAUGCGCAGAUAUCAGGAGGAACACCGGUGGCGAAGGCGGGACUCUGGGCUGUAACUGACACUGAAGCUCGAAAGCGUGGGGAGCAAACAGG